UUUCAUUACACUUCUUUCAAGAAAGCAACAGGCUGCCCAACAGACCUCUCAUUGAUUGGAAGAGAAAUGAGCCCAGAGCCUCCUAACAACAGCCUUGGAGUGGACAGGAUGAUGAACAGUGAUGCCAAAGACUCAGGAUCUGAAGGCAGACAGGCCUGGUCCACCACCUGUGUCUGCCAUUUGCAGGAUGAGUGACCUUGAGUAGGUCACCUCACACCUCUGAACCUGAAUUCUACAUCUGCAAAACAGGAAUGAUGACCCUGACUGACAGCCUCCCUGUGAGGAGUAAGCCAUACAGCAUCCCUCCCUCCUUCACGUGACAAACUUUUCCUGAGUCCUGACCUCGGGGGCAGGAGCUGGAGAUACUACACUGGAUUAGAAAGAUGAGUUUCCAGUCAAGUGUGGGAGAGAGAAGUAGCCAGGAUGUAGAACCUGACAAGGGAAGAGUUCAGGAACUUGCCCAGUUGAGCAGCCAGUGAACGGGACAGCCCUGAGCACGGUGCACGUUCUGGGGUGGCUCGUGAGUGACAGCAGUACUGGUAUGCUGGUGAGUGCCUCAGCAGGAGCUCCCUCUGUCCCCCUACCAACUCCCCGAUGUCUGGACGGCACCAGAGCCCGCCUGGGAGGCCACGAGCUAACACUCUCAAGAGGAAAACAGGGGGAUCAAACCAAUGACCCAAGGGCCUACAGCUAAGAACUGCUGGAGCCAGGCUCUGAACUGAGCUCUGCCUGACUCCAGAGGUGGUUUCUACCACCAGGCAAUACAACAGGGAGACACGCAGGUGUGUCAGAGAGCAGUCCUCACAGUGCGAGCACAGAAACCAGAGGCCAAGGCUGAAGAUUUUCCUGGACUCGCGGUGCUGCCCAGGAAUCUUCUGAGAAAACCUGUCAGUUGGUAAAGCCACGUGGAGGCGGGGCUAACAAAAUCUGGAAAUGUCUUCACCAGUUCCAAAGUACACACAAACAUUACUUGCCCUCUCUGGGGGUCAACGUUCUUUAUGAUUUUUUUCUCUCCAGGAAAAUAUUAGUUCAUUUAUAGAAACUAAACAUUACAUGUGGAGGGAAAAUGGAAAACGUGGCAUUCUUGGCCUUUUUUCUCCACAGACACAGAAACUGAGAAGGUUUCUCCAUUUCCUUUCUCACAGCCUAUUUGUUGGUGUGGAACUGCCUGUGAAGUCAUUCUGCAGGGGUGGAAAGUGGGGGCCAGCUCUCUGUGGGCAACAGGGACCAUCCCAGAGACAAAGGGCAGCCUCAGCCCACAGACCACUUCGGACUUGAAUCAAGGCCUCAAAGGGCGAGACCUGGGCCACUGUCAAUGUGAGGGCAGGUAGGCUGGGUAGAGGGGUAGAGGCGUGGGCGCUGCCUAGAAGAGGGCCAGAGAGACCGCCCGGCACAUUGGUCUUGCUCCCACUGCCUCCUUUCAGCUCCUCAGUGUACCCAUCCUUGCCCCUGGCAGCUUUUGCUGCCUGGUUCCCCGACUAAAAUGUGAGCUUUGUGGGGAAGGUUCUUGCCUUGCUGGGCACCUGGCUCACAGCAAGUCCUUGGCCUGGAAGUCUUGGGUGAAUGAAUGAAUGAACAUGUCUUAGGGCCUCUCCUUUGCAGGUGUGGGGGAUGUGCCUACUGGAAAGGGCACCGAGCUGAAGCCUAAACCCCCUCCUGAGGAGCCAGGGAAGCCUGCGUUCCUCCCAUUCCCGGGACUGCAAGAGGCACAUUCCUGUCCCUGAGUCUGGUCAGGCUCCUGCCACGCAGCUCAGUCUGGCUGCCAGGUCCAGAAAGGCCUCCCUGGAGCUGCCCCUCUGGCCCCACCCUUCCCAGGACCCCAGGCCACCCCACAGCUGCAGCAGCACCCACUCUCUGUCUUCUGAGGCUGCUAGUGGGAAGCUGGGACCCCCGAGUGUGUCUGAAACCUUCCAGGCACUCCUCGACCCUCUAGUGAUCAAUGAAAACCUUCACAUCCUGCUUCCAGGGCUGAAGCCAGGGAUUUGGAAAAUUGGUGGAAAACACUCCUAUGAGCUGGGGCUUGCUCUGCUGUGGAAAACUGCCAGCAUCAGCACUUCUCCCAAGGCUGUGCCGAGUCAGCAGUCAGCCCACUCUGGAGCUGCCUCUGAGGACCAGGUGCCUACAGGACCCUGUAAGGAGCUUGAAGAGUUGUGGCUGACGGAGGGAUUUCUGUCCUGGGCUCUAGGAAUUCUAGACUGGGCCCUUCCUCAAGGAGCUUUCAGUCUGGCGGAGCAGACAGACAUGGGCAAAUAAGCCCACAACUAACUGUGCCAUCACUGCAGAAGGAAGUGCCACGGAGGAGCAUGAGGGCCAGUUGCAGGAAGGAGCCAGGGCCAGCAUGUGCCUGUAAAAGCCAGAUAGUAAAUAGUUCACGCUCUGCAGGCCACAGGGUCUUUGUCCCAAGCACUCAACUCUGCCACUGCUGCAUGAAAACAGCCACAGGCGAUAUGUCAACCAAAGAGGGGUGGUUGUGCCCAUAUGAAAACAGAGGGUGGAUCUGUCCCACAGUUUGCCACAGCCUGGCUGUUAGACGGCCUGACCUGAUUGGGGGUGGGGGUGAUAGUGGGGAGAAGGCUUCCCCGAGGCAGUGAUAUUUAGCUAAAAGCUGCAGGCUGAGGCAAUGAUGGAGGCAGAAUCACAAUAUGACAAUUAUGAUAAUCACAUCACCAUGAUCAAGUUCCACCUAACACGUGUGUUCUAUGUUGCGCACUGUGCUAAUAACAACACUACCCUGUGAAGGAGGAAGAUUUUAUGCCCACUUUACAGAUAGAGACACUGAGGCUUGGCAGUAUGCUGAGUAGUCUGUUCACACAAUUCAGCUGCAUUUUUUGCCCUGCCCACUUGCCACUUCUGUUCGGGGGAGGCUGACCCCUGAGAUGCAUCUCCUGGACCCCUUGCCCCCAGCUUUCUAUUGGAUUUGGCCAAUGAAAGGCUCUGGUGGCAGACUGAGGGCUGGAGGAAAGGGAGGCCAGGGAUUUUUCUCUGCUCGCUCCUGCUUCCCCCUCCCUGCCCACAGACCCUGCACAGCCAAUCAUCCUCCAGAACUCAGCCAUCCCUGGGAUUGGUAACACUUCUUCCCCAUGCCCUUUAGCCUAGGGCUCCACCCUCCCCAGGACCCUGGGCCGGCCCAUGGGUGCCUCGCCAUGCUUUAUUGGUUCUGUUCAUUAAAGUCUCUUCAUGUGAACCAUCUGGGGUCCAUUCUGUCCCCUGCCAGGGCUCUGAUGCUGGAGGUUGGCUGGCUUGCUGGUUUCUGGUCUCACAUGGCUAAUAAACAACAGAGCCAAGUAGAGGUGUGGGUGGAUUGUGGGAAAGGAGGCUGUACCUGAGGAGGCUGGGCCAGGGCUGGCUCCUAGCUGCCCAGCUGACUUCCAGGACAGUCAGGGGUCAAAGGAGGCCAGGAAAUGCAGUGCCUCCUUUCCUGCCCCAGGGACCAGUGAGUGACCCCAUUCUUGAGGCCCCCAAUUAGCACUUUUAGUUUUCUAAGCCUGGCUCCAGGUCUGCAACCUCCUGUUCUUCUCCCUACCCCUAGCAGCGGGAGCCAGUGUUGCUCAGCGCAGACCUGGGCUGGGGGCUAGGGCUGAGGCUGAGGCUGAGGCUGAGGCUGAGGCUGAGGCAGGGCCCUGGGCUCUUCCUCAGGGAGGAGAUAGUGGGGCAGAUGGUGGUGAAAUGCAGGGACCAGCUGGGUCACAUAGAUGCCUGGAGGGGAAGAGGAAGCCUCUGUCGCCAUCGCCCUGGCAGGAAGCAGCAUGCAGGCGUGUUGAAUGGCUGGUGCCAGGGAGAGCCAGGCUGGCAGAUGAGGGCUUGGGCUGGAGGUGAAGGGUGGAGGCACCAGGGAGGAGGAGAGCCCUCUGAGGCUCAGUCGUGAGGCUGCAGCAACAGGAUCUCCUCCACACUUGGGCUAGUGUAUACCAGGGGCCCACCCAGAGCUGCAGCCUGGCUCUUCAUCCACCCAUCUAUCCACCCACCCACCCACUCACCCAUCCAUCCCUCUCCUCCAAAAACCCUACGAAAAUUGAGCAUCUACAAAGGGCAGGCAUAAUGCCAGGUGCUAAAGAUCCAACAAGGAAUGAGUCGGGCCCAGUGACCAGACAGAGAAUAAUGACAAGUUGUGGUGAGUGCCAUAAAGAAGCCAAGAGCUGAAAUAAAGGCCACCCUGAGCCCAACAGGAUGAGCAGGAGCAGACCACAAAAACAAGGGGGAGAAUGUCUAAGGCUUGAGCGAGGGGCCUGGGGAGGAGAACUUCACAGAGGCCUUGCUACUCUCAGGCAGAGGUGAGGCUAGGGUGUGGCCUGUGGAUGGACAGAGCCACUAGGGAAAGGCAGAGUUGGCUCACACCAAGGCGAACACCAUCCUGUGCCUGACCCUGGGCUCUCCCACCUCUCCCUGCUCAGUGGCUCCAGCAUGGAAUCAGGCAGCAGGAAGGGGCACCGGGAGAUGGGUAUUCCAGAGCUGUCUGAAGGACAGCAAGUGUGGCAUGGAGACUUCUUGGCAUUUAAAGAAGUCCAGGGAUGUGGCUCAUCCUGUGAAGGCUAUUGAACUGAAGAGGCUGCAAAGGCCAAACAGGCCUCUUAUUCACACUAAUUUGGAGGGGACUCGGAAGGACAGACCACCACUUUCAUUUUGCUCCAGAAUUCUGGCACUAUCUCCCGAUGCAAUAGGCUAGUCUUUGCUAGCAUUCCUUCUGUAGCUCUUAACAACUGCUGUCUCCUACAGUCUUCUGAUAGGAACCCUGCCCUGCUCCCUCCUCGUCCCCCACAGGUCAGUUGUAGGUGACUGCGCACCUAAAAGGAGCAAUGCUGACCGAGGGGGAAGGUGUUCUAGAAUGGCAGAAAUGACAAAGUAGAGACAAGACCAGCACUAGGAGCUUUCCUUCUGGCCACCUUUGCUGGGGGUCACCUGCCACAUAUGGAAGGCAAUGGAUUUGGAAGACUGCAAGAGAUAUUUUAAUACUGGGCUUAUGGAAACCCUGUGAAAAUCAAGCUUCUGCCAGGACUGUCUUGAGGUAUAGACAAUAGCAUUUCCGGAGACCCCGAGAAUCAACCAGCAUGUCUCUCUAAGAUAUCAGAGGCCCCCAGGGGUGCUGGAGGCAGGGUCUGGCUUGUCCAAUGCAGCCAGGAGAGGCUGGAAAAGGCAAGCAGCCCGGAGUCCCCCCUGGGAAUCAGGGCAGAGCCUUACUGGGUGGGGCUCAUGAGAGGCUGCCACACUGGCCCUAUGGGCUCUGUGGUCCUGUGUCCAGCAGGAGCUGUUACAGAGGUUGGCCUGGCACCAGAGAGUGGGGAGAGUGGCUUGAGCAGGUCAACGGGCUAGGGGAGGUGUGGCACCACGUAGCAGCUUGUAGCAGCCACCCCCUUACAAACAGGGCACAUCAGACUCUGAGCCGAGUGCCUUCCAAAUAGUAUUUUGUUUUUGACAUUCCAACGUUCCUGGGAGGAAGGUUUCAUCAUCCCAUUUUAUAGGAUAAAAAAAAAAAAAAAAAAAAAAAAGGAGGCCCAAAGGGGUUAAGUCACUUGUCCAAGACUGCAGUGGCCUAGAACCCAGGGUGGUAUGACCUAGAGCGCAAACCAGGGGGAGGAAGUGCUGUUGGGUUCCCCUUGACCCCCCACGCCCCCGACCUCUCCCUGGACAGCAGUGGAGAUCAGCUCCUGUCGUUGAGAGUCAGUUGGAAUAUGAGUAAAAAGUAACCAUUAAAUAAUAACGAUGAAGCAGCCAACACUGAGCACACUUUCACAAUGUCAGUGUGAGCAGAGCACUUUACAGGCAGGCAUGAGCUUACUCAGGCAUCACAACAACCCGAGAAGGUAAGUCGUCAUAUUAUCUUCAUUCUGUGGAUGAGGCCACUGAAGAUUACAGGUAAAGUGACAAAGCCAGGAAACAGCGGAGCUCGGGCUUGACUGCAAAGCCUGGGCUCAAAUCACUAGGGGACAGUGUAUGUGUGUGUGUUUCACAAGUCUGAUGAGCCACCUGCAUCUGGUGGCACCAGAUACCCUGGGCAUCCUCCGCACCCCUCCAGGGCACAUAAACCCAAGCCUGGGCAGCAGCCCCGCUAAGGGUCUGGAGAGCCUGGAGAAGAUGCUGGGGCUUUCUCUACCUUGUGUGUGCUCCCAACUUGGGGCUCUGAUCCUGCCUCUCUUGGGGCUGUUCAGGCCCAGGCUCUAACACUCAGGCUCUUCCAGGGAGCCCCGGCACAGAGGGGAACCACAGAAGUCCCGCAUGAUCAGGAGCCUGGGCAGGCUGGUGCAGGAGGGCUGUGAACAGGGAUAGCUGAGUCUGCUAAGCUGCAAACUUGAUUUGCCCUUGGCCUCCCCGGUCAAGGCCAACUCUGGCAGCCACAAUUAGGCUAUUAAGUGGGUUUGCUCCCACUCGAGGUAGCUA
This 6372-nucleotide long non-coding RNA is filed under the name Homo sapiens (human). RNAcentral's name for it is "HSALNT0354937". The record is from RNAcentral. Lineage: Eukaryota; Metazoa; Chordata; Mammalia; Primates; Hominidae.